Molecule: unclassified non-coding RNA, 206 nt
Filed under: Hevea brasiliensis (rubber tree)
Lineage: Eukaryota; Viridiplantae; Streptophyta; Magnoliopsida; Malpighiales; Euphorbiaceae
Source: RNAcentral
ACCUCUACUGCUGGCCCUGCAUAUACAAGUGGCUGCAGAGCGCAUCCUCGCAGCAGUGCCCCGUCUGCAAGGCCGCUCUCUCCCAGACGUCCCUCGUCCCGCUCUACGGACGGGGUGACACCACCAAGGUAUCAACUCAAGGGGUUCCUCGUCGCCCCCCUUCCGCCCCUCGUGAGCUACCGAGGGAGCCACUUCCACCAAUGGAG